UGGUAGCCGAGUGGUUAGCAUUGCGUACUGACAUUCGCAAGGCUCGGGUUCAAGUCCCGGUAAAUAAA
This 68-nucleotide transfer RNA is filed under the name Ceratitis capitata (Mediterranean fruit fly). RNAcentral's name for it is "tRNA-Val". Lineage: Eukaryota; Metazoa; Arthropoda; Insecta; Diptera; Tephritidae. The record is from RNAcentral.